RNAcentral lists this ribosomal RNA (456 nucleotides) under uncultured bacterium. Its description in RNAcentral is "bacterial SSU rRNA". It matches the Rfam family "Bacterial small subunit ribosomal RNA", at positions 340 to 786 of the family's 1533-position model. The record is from RNAcentral.
UACGGGAGGCAGCACUGGGGAAUAUUGCACAAUGGGCGAAAGCCUGAUGCAGCUAUGCCGCGUGUAUGAAGAAGGCCUUAGGGUUGUAAAGUACUUUCAUCGGGGAGGAAAAAACAAAACUAAUAAUUUUAUUUCUUGACGUUACCCGAAAAAGAAGCACCGGCUAACUCCGUGCCAGCAGCCGCGGUAAUACGGAGGGUGCUAGCGUUAAUCAGAAUUACUGGGCGUAAAGAGCACGUAGGUGGUUUUUUUAAGUCAGAUGUGAAAUCCCUGGGCUUAACCUGGAACUGCAUUUUGAAACUGAAAUACUAGAGUAUCGUAGAGGGAGGUAGAAUUCUAGGUGUAGCGGUGAAAUGCGUAGAUAUCUGGAGGAAUACCUGUGGCGAAAGCGGCCUCCUAAACGAAUACUGACACUGAGGUGCGAAAGCGUGGGGAGCAAACGAGGGAUUAGAUACC